GGGGUUGUGCUUCAGCGGUAGAUUGCUCACCUACCAUGUGUGAAGCCCUGGGUUCAAUCCUCAGCACCACA
This 71-nucleotide transfer RNA is filed under the name Marmota monax (woodchuck). RNAcentral describes it as "tRNA.Gly". Lineage: Eukaryota; Metazoa; Chordata; Mammalia; Rodentia; Sciuridae. The record is from RNAcentral.